Molecule: ribosomal RNA, 253 nt
Filed under: uncultured prokaryote
Description: partial 16S ribosomal RNA
Rfam family: Bacterial small subunit ribosomal RNA
Source: RNAcentral
UACGUAGGGUGCAAGCAUUAAUCGGAUUUAUUGGGCGUAAAGGGCGCGUAGGCAGGAAAGUCAGUCAGAUGUGAAAUCCCGGAGCUCAACUCCGGAACAGCAUUUGAAACUUCUUUUCUAGAGGGUAGGCGGAGAAAACGGAAUUCCACAAGUAGCGGUGAAAUGCGUAGAUAUGUGGAAGAACACCAGUGGCGAAGGCGGUUUUCUAGCUUACACCUGACGCUGAGGCGCGAAAGCAAGGGGAGCAAACAGG